CAUUUCUGCUGACCAAGUUUGAAAUUGGUCGGAUUACACGCUUUAAUUUCUAAUAUAUCUCAUAUUUAAAAAGCAAGUUUGGGCGGGAAAUAUCGUAGUUUAGUCAGGUCACGUGUUCCAUUAUUGUUCCCAGUCGAUUGCAAAGUACAGUACCAUAAGAUCAGAAAGAUCGAGGUUUGAAGGGUCAGCUGGCAUAAGGAUGUAUAUUUUGGGCUCCUGGGGUGAAGGAUCUAGUGUCAAAUUAUCACUUCUCUCAUCAAGAGAAAUGACAAAGUGACUGAUGCAUGAAACCGUUUAAUUCCUUGGCCAGUGCGCAACAAAUGAAGGAUAUGAAGCUGGUUGCAGGGUUAGCCGUGCUGCGGCCGUGGGUUGCAGAGGCCAUGGAGAACUGCCCCAGUGCUUGUAAAUGCAGCCAGAAAUGACUGACGUCAGUUGUCAAAAGAAGGGGCUUGACUGCAUCCCUAAACUCCAUCUGGACACAUGGAUCUUUGAAAUUGCUAAGGAGAUACUGCUAACUUUUUUUGGGAAGACAUGGUCGUAAUACUAACCCUCAUAACGAAAUAUAAAGGAACAAGAAAAUAAAUAUAAUAAAUGAAACACUUAAUAAAUCAA
Molecule: long non-coding RNA, 612 nt
Organism: Carassius carassius (crucian carp)
Lineage: Eukaryota; Metazoa; Chordata; Actinopteri; Cypriniformes; Cyprinidae
Exons: 3
Source: RefSeq, a predicted model, not a curated record